GGGGUGGUCGUGAGUUGAGGCGGAGAGAAGGAGGAGGACGGUCACGGUGGGAGGGAAGAAGUUUUUGAACAUGACUCAUCAUCAGUAAUCAAAUCUUACAUGGCUGCUGAAACCCCUACAACUUCACCUUUGUGAUCGAUAUGAUCAUAUCAGAGAUGAUCUCCGAGACUACUUUGAAGCGUCGGAUCACUUGAAUGGUCAAACAGAGAGGACCCCACGUCUGUUCUCGAACAGUUUACAUACCCCCAUGGUCCGCACAAAGCUGCUUCUGAAUGGCAAGGUGGUAGAUGAAUGGCAGAGGUGAGCAUACGCCGAUGGAAGUGAAG
This is a long non-coding RNA of Syngnathus acus (greater pipefish), 326 nucleotides long. RefSeq lists it as uncharacterized. The transcript is spliced from 3 exons. The record is from RefSeq and is a predicted model, not a curated record. NCBI's taxonomy places the organism in Eukaryota, Metazoa, Chordata, Actinopteri, Syngnathiformes, Syngnathidae.